GACGUAGGGAGCGAGCGUUGUCCGGAUUCAUUGGGCGUAAAGCGCGCGUAGGCGGCCUCGCAAGUCGGUUGUGAAAUCCCGGGGCUCAACCCCGGGACUGCGUCCGAUACUGCGAGGCUGGAGGUAGGUAGGGGAGACUGGAAUUCCUGGUGUAGCGGUGAAAUGCGCAGAUAUCAGGAGGAACACCGAUGGCGAAGGCAGGUCUCUGGGCAUUAACUGACGCUGAGGAGCGAAAGCAUGGGGAGCGAACAGG
This 253-nucleotide ribosomal RNA is filed under the name uncultured bacterium. Its description in RNAcentral is "partial 16S ribosomal RNA". It matches the Rfam family "Bacterial small subunit ribosomal RNA", at positions 524 to 776 of the family's 1533-position model. The record is from RNAcentral.